GGGGGCGUGUGGCUUCGACGGGGACGUGGGUUGCGAGAUGGCGUGUCGAGCCCCGGGCUCGUAAAACCGGGAAAGGCAUUAACUGCCAACCACUCGAGCCAACCGGCUCUGGCCUACGCCGCCUGAUCUGAUCAGGAGGUAGUGCCGAAAGCCCAGGCCUAGGCCUGGCGUCGACCGGUCGGGGGCCUGCGACGACCGGAUCCGACGUAAAUACAGCGGGCUAGCCUCGCGGUGGCGUCUCGGCGCCGUGGGGGACGCACACCGAGUCUGGCGGAUCGGCAUCCUGUCCGGAGGAGGCUCUUCCGUGAGAUUAGUUUCCGGGCUACACACGUAGAGGUCUCGUGAGACGCGUUCUCGGACCCGGGUUCGAUUCCCGGCGCCUCCACCA
This 388-nucleotide transfer-messenger RNA is filed under the name Candidatus Dormiibacterota bacterium. It matches the Rfam family "transfer-messenger RNA". From Rfam's summary of the family: Bacterial tmRNA, also known as 10Sa RNA or SsrA, is named for its dual tRNA and mRNA-like properties. RNAcentral also lists the same sequence under 1 other name. Lineage: Bacteria; Bacillati; Candidatus Dormiibacterota. The record is from RNAcentral.